Molecule: ribosomal RNA, 407 nt
Filed under: Amphipholis squamata
Lineage: Eukaryota; Metazoa; Echinodermata; Ophiuroidea; Amphilepidida; Amphiuridae
Description: partial 16S ribosomal RNA
Source: RNAcentral
AGGUCGCAAGCUCUCUUGUCAAUAUGUACUCUUAAAGAGAAUUACGCUGUUAUCCUUAAGGUAACUUUUUCUUUUGCUCAGAAACUUCUGGGUCCAUCUAUAUUAGNGGGGGAUCAUUAUAUUAAUCCCCUGUUAUAAAAGAGGGGAGGUUGCCCCAACCAAACCUUUUAUUAUAACAAUUUAUUAUUUUAAGGUAAAGCUCUAUAGGGUCUUCUUGUCCCACUUACUAAUUAAGGUCUCUUCACCUUAAAAUCAAUUUCGAGUUAAAUAAAGAGAGACAGUCUCUCUGUCGUCUAGCCGUUGAUACUAGCCUGCAAUUAACAGGCGAAUGAUUAUGCUACCUUUGCACAGUNCAGUAAUACUGCAGCCGUUUAUACUAUUGUCACCGGAGACAGGACAGNAAGCGG